Molecule: long non-coding RNA, 622 nt
Filed under: Coturnix japonica (Japanese quail)
Lineage: Eukaryota; Metazoa; Chordata; Aves; Galliformes; Phasianidae
Description: lncRNA (ENSCJPG00005011987.1)
Source: RNAcentral
AAGAGUUUAUAAAAUCUACACAAAAUAACAUAUUGAAAUCUAUUCACCUUUUUGUAAUUUUUUGCCUAGGGCCAGGUUGGAAAUGCAGGACUGGUCCCCUGCAGCAAAGUUUUAGCUACAGGUCCAGAAAUAAUCACUUCCGAGGCUCUGCUUCUCCCCAGAUGCUGAAUGCCAUUACUUUGGACUUAAACAUCAGAAUUCUUUAUAACAAAUAAGGAUCCAGACUGACAGUGUAGUUCAGUUGACAGAACAGAGGGAUGAUUCACGCUCUAGGUGUUGUGGAUGGCUUGACCACAGAGGGAUCAGUUCAAUCCUGAGAAGGCUAUGUGACGCUGUCGCAUUAAAAUGCAGAUUUAAAGAAUUUCCUUCACUACCCACUGGGAAUACUAUACUUCAAAAGGCAUUGUGUAACUUGGACUGGAAAGAAGAACUGAACUAAUUAAAGAUAAAAUGAGAACAGCAAGAAUUAAACAAACAAAUCCAAAGCAAAUGCAUACAGAAAACAGCCCAGCAAAAGCCCAAAGGAAUUAUUAAUGCAAUCAUUUUCCUCGGGCAAUCAAGACAAAUGACGUCAAGAUUUCAGCUUGGCAAAAACAGCAACUGUAAAAUAUAAAUUUUGUGG